GUACCGUCAGGCUACUGAGCUGUUUACCCAGUAACGUUUCUUCCCCCAUGACAGGGUUUUACGACUCAAAGAGCCUUCAUCACCCACGCGGCGUCGCUCGGUCAGGGUUUCCCCCAUUGCCGAAGCUUCUCGA
This 133-nucleotide ribosomal RNA is filed under the name uncultured bacterium. Its description in RNAcentral is "partial 16S ribosomal RNA". The record is from RNAcentral.